Molecule: unclassified non-coding RNA, 1974 nt
Filed under: Hevea brasiliensis (rubber tree)
Lineage: Eukaryota; Viridiplantae; Streptophyta; Magnoliopsida; Malpighiales; Euphorbiaceae
Source: RNAcentral
AGCAGCUUAUUUACAAAAGAGGAAGAAGACAAAAAUAUGAUUUGAUACAUAGAGACCUUGAGAAGAGCAGCUGUGGAUUUUCCAGUAAUAAAAACAAGUCCAACUUUAUCGAAUUUGGCUGUAUUCUUGGAGCUGCUCUAUUAAUUAGGCCGUAUUUGUAAGGAGACAACAAGCAAAACACUUCUAAGUAGAAUUACACGAAAAUUGCAUAAUCAAUUGCUGCAUCAAAACAACAUUAACACUCCAUCGAAAUGUUAAGUGAAAAACAAAACAAAGAAACCCUUCAAAGUCACCAAAAUUUGGGAGAAGCCUUCACAUGGGAAUCACUAUUAUUUGUAUACAAGUUCCACUCCUGUGUAUGUACCGUGACUGGAAAAGGCAAUAUAAUCAAUGAAGCCUCACAUUAGUCUUAAUUCAUAUUCACCAGCCAUUGUUAUGUAUCUGACCCACGGUAGAGCCACGUAUCCACUUUUCUCAAUGAUCUUUAGAUACCGAACCUCAUUGCACUAGCCAUCACAACAGGUUGCAAUGUGUAUCUUAGAAAUGCUUUUCCAUUCAGUUGUAUCAUAUCAGGCUCCCCAUUUUAGCAUAUUUUACACUCUCUAAAAGGUUGUGACAUUGCCAUUGGAGUAAUAGCCGAAUUGUCAAAGUACUUGCUUGCAGCACACAUAGUCAGAUGCUUGAAAGCUGAAUUCCAGAGACAGUAAAAUAUGGUAUCUCAAACUUCACACGGAUCGGAGCUUUUCUCUCAGGAGCUGCUUCUUCAGCUGUUAUACUAGGGAGACCAAAUUCUGCCCUCAACAUGUACUCCUUGUUACCAGGAAAAGAUUUGAUUUUCCAGACCAAAGCAUCAUUUUCAGGGGCAUAUGUAGCAGAACCCAUUGAUGUCCGGAUAUUAGGAUUUGUAGCAUCAGAUGGCACAGGCAAUUCAAUUUCAAUGUUAGUUGCAGUACUUCGCUCCUUAAAUUGGCUCCGAGCUUUCACCAUUAUCUCAAUUCGACUUCUAGAAUGCCUUUCAACUUGAGCUUCUACCCAAAUAAGAGGUUUCACCUGAGUACUAAGCCUAUACGUCAUCAAAUCAAAAGAUCCAUCAGGUGGUAUGAAGGAUAUCGUCCGAUCAUUUUCAAAUCUAGCUAAACGCACACACUGAUGGAAUUUGAUAUCAUCCAGAUCAAUAGCUUUCCCUUUUGUUGCUCGACCUUGAGCCUCCAGAAGUACUCUAUCAUUCAGGCCAAGUUUACAUUCAGGCAUGCCACUCAAGUAUGUUCUCAUCUUGAGUGCCCCGACAACAUCUGAACGUAUUAUUUGCCCAUUGCUGUUGACCAGUAUGUUGACACUCUCCACCACAUCUAAAAAUACUUCAUUCUUCUUGUACCGUAUCCCUUCACUUCGCCAGGACACAGCAUUUGUUACAGCCAUUGGAGGUCGCUGAGCAACUUCCAUCCUAUAAGCAUCAGUCUUGAUGAACUCACUAAGAAUCUUUGCUUCAGUAUAUUGAGGGAAACCAAAGUCCAUGAUUUCAUCAAGCAACUCAUACACAACCACAAAGUUAUCUCUCAAAGAUUCCUCUUCUAACACUUCAAAAUAAUGCUUAAACACAUCAACUACACGGUGAAGAAAGAGAAGAAGGCUGGCAGCAUUACAAUUCUGCCUAGAUGCAGUCAUCAAGUAAACAUUGUUGUGCUGUAUAAACAAGUAAGUCACUCCAUUGUCAUAGACCACUGGAUCCUGAGACUGUGGAUCACCCUCCUUCUCGAUGAGCUUGGUGAAGAAGCGCUCGGCCUGAACAGCAGAGACGUCGCCGCGAUAGUCGCGCCAAAUCAAGACACGGCCUUUGAUAUCGAGAAGAAAAAGCGCCGAGGCGGCGCCAGCCAUCGAUGGAAGGAAUCGAAUUUGCAGAUAUGAAUCAGCGACUGUGUUUUGCAACAGGUCAGAAUUGAAAAUGAAUGAAUCCAAGCGAAGAAUGAUCUGUUG